AAAUUGAAGAGUUUGAUCAUGGCUCAGAUUGAACGCUGGCGGCAGGCCUAACACAUGCAAGUCGA
Molecule: ribosomal RNA, 65 nt
Filed under: Citrobacter freundii
Lineage: Bacteria; Pseudomonadati; Pseudomonadota; Gammaproteobacteria; Enterobacterales; Enterobacteriaceae
Also listed under: 76 other names
Description: partial 16S ribosomal RNA
Rfam family: Bacterial small subunit ribosomal RNA
Source: RNAcentral